Molecule: ribosomal RNA, 277 nt
Filed under: uncultured bacterium
Lineage: Bacteria
Description: partial 16S ribosomal RNA
Rfam family: Bacterial small subunit ribosomal RNA
Source: RNAcentral
GUGGAUUAGAUACCCUGGUAGUCCACGCUGUAAACGAUGAGUACUAAGUGUUGGAGAAAUUCAGUGCUGAAGCAAACGCAUUAAGUACUCCGCCUGAGAAGUACGUUCGCAAGAAUGAAACUUAAAGGAAUUGACGGGGGCCCGCACAAGCGGUGGAGCAUGUGGUUUAAUUCGACGCAACACGAAGAACCUUACCAGGACUUGACAUCCGAUGCAAGACUCUAGAGAUAGAGGGAUAGUUAUGGUCGAGACAGGUGGUGCACGGUCGUCGACAGCU